GAUGAACGCUGGCGGCGUGCCUAAUACAUGCAAGUCGAGCGAACAGACGAGGAGCUUGCUCCUCUGACGUUAGCGGCGGACGGGUGAGUAACACGUGGAUAACCUACCUAUAAGACUGGGAUAACUUCGGGAAACCGGAGCUAAUACCGGAUAACAUGUUGAACCGCAUGGUUCAACAGUGAAAGACGGUCUUGCUGUCACUUAUAGAUGGAUCCGCGCCGCAUUAGCUAGUUGGUAAGGUAACGGCUUACCAAGGCAACGAUGCGUAGCCGACCUGAGAGGGUGAUCGGGCACACUGGAACUGAGACACGGUCCAGACUCCUACGGGAGGCAGCAGUAGGGAAUCUUCCGCAAUGGGCGAAAGCCUGACGGAGCAACGCCGCGUGAGUGAAGAAGGUCUUCGGAUCGUAAAACUCUGUUAUUAGGGAAGAACAAAUGUGUAAGUAACUAUGCACGUCUUGACGGUACCUAAUCAGAAAGCCACGGCUAACUACGUG
RNAcentral lists this ribosomal RNA (497 nucleotides) under uncultured bacterium. RNAcentral describes it as "partial 16S ribosomal RNA". It matches the Rfam family "Bacterial small subunit ribosomal RNA", at positions 28 to 507 of the family's 1533-position model. The record is from RNAcentral.